AUACCUUUCUCGGCCUUUUGGCUAAGAUCAAGUGUAGUAUCUGUUCUUAUCAGUUUAAUAUCUGAUAUGUGAACCAAUGGUUCACACGAUAUUAAAUUUAUUUUUUGAGGGGGAGAGUCCACUACAAUAGCUUGCUAUUGGGCCUCUCGAGUGUCGCUUUUGUGUUACACUAUUGCAAUUGCUUGGCAUACCCCAC
Molecule: small nuclear RNA, 196 nt
Filed under: Trifolium pratense (red clover)
Lineage: Eukaryota; Viridiplantae; Streptophyta; Magnoliopsida; Fabales; Fabaceae
Description: snRNA U2
Rfam family: U2 spliceosomal RNA
About the family: U2 is a small nuclear RNA (snRNA) component of the spliceosome (involved in pre-mRNA splicing). Complementary binding between U2 snRNA (in an area lying towards the 5' end but 3' to hairpin I) and the branchpoint sequence (BPS) of the intron results the bulging out of an unpaired adenosine, on the BPS, which initiates a nucleophilic attack at the intronic 5' splice site, thus starting the first of two transesterification reactions that mediate splicing.
Source: RNAcentral